Molecule: long non-coding RNA, 161 nt
Organism: Lolium rigidum
Lineage: Eukaryota; Viridiplantae; Streptophyta; Magnoliopsida; Poales; Poaceae
Exons: 3
Source: RefSeq, a predicted model, not a curated record
UUUUCUUUCAUGGGGCCUCUUCUAAAUCAAUAACAGCAGAUCCAGUGUUGCCAAUGGGCCUCGGCCCGUAUCUCUCCCGGUGUAGCCAUCGCCCAGCGCGCAGCAGGCCGCUAUCCGCCGCUGCCUCUACACAGCAUUUGCUUCUUCCCGGAUAGGAUCGC